Molecule: long non-coding RNA, 278 nt
Organism: Symphalangus syndactylus (siamang)
Lineage: Eukaryota; Metazoa; Chordata; Mammalia; Primates; Hylobatidae
Source: RefSeq, a predicted model, not a curated record
UAAAAUAAAUAGAAUAAAUAUUAGAAACAUUUGAAAAGUGGCAUAUCAAGUUAACUACAGACAGUUUUGUUUUGUUUUUUAAGGCAACUUGAGUGGCUUUAGGUAACUUCCAAUUUCUGAAAGCCUCAAUAACUGAAAGACCCUGUGAACACGUACCAAAAAGAUGGCCAUCUGAAAGCCACGAAGAGAGCCCUCACCACAAUCCAAUCACUGUGGCACUGGAUCUCAGACUUCUAUCCUCCGGAACUCUGACAAAUAAACUUCUGUUGUUUAAGCCA